Molecule: long non-coding RNA, 151 nt
Organism: Bufo bufo (common toad)
Lineage: Eukaryota; Metazoa; Chordata; Amphibia; Anura; Bufonidae
Exons: 3
Source: RefSeq, a predicted model, not a curated record
AUACCUCGAUGCCGUAACUAGAUCUACCAAAUGGAAUAUUGGUCAAACUGACAAAAUGACUGCAUGCCAGCGACGGGCACACUAAGAAAACCACAUCAGUUCAUACUGCCGAGGGUUUACAGAUAAGACGCGCGUGUACAGGGUAGGUGCG